RNAcentral lists this ribosomal RNA (423 nucleotides) under Triticum aestivum (bread wheat). RNAcentral describes it as "partial small subunit ribosomal RNA". The record is from RNAcentral. Lineage: Eukaryota; Viridiplantae; Streptophyta; Magnoliopsida; Poales; Poaceae.
AUGUUGCAGGAGGAUGGGGGUGUUGAUGAAGAUGUGAACCAUCGAAUCAAAGCCAGAUGGAUGAAGUGGCGCCAAGCUUCUGGCAUUCUCUGUGACAAGAGAGUGCCACAAAAGCUAAAAGGCAAGUUCUACAGGACGGCGGUUCGACCCGCAAUGUUGUAUGGCGCGGAGUGUUGGCCGACUAAAAGGCGACAUGUUCAACAGUUAGGUGUGGCGGAGAUGCGUAUGUUGAGAUGGAUGUGUGGCCACACGAGGAAGGAUCGAGUCCGGAAUGAUGAUAUACGAGAUAGAGUUGGGGUAGCACCAAUUAAGGAGAAGCUUGUCCAACAUCGUUUGAGAUGGUUUGGGCAUAUUCAGCGCAGGCCUCCAGAAGCUCCAGUGCAUAGCGGACGGCUAAAGCGUGCGGAGAAUGUCAAGAGUGGG